AGACCCGAAACCCGGUGAUCUAGCCAUGGGCAGGUUGAAGGUUGGGUAACACUAACUGGAGGACCGAACCGACUAAUGUUGAAAAAUUAGCGGAUGACCUGUGGCUGGGGGUGAAAGGCCAAUCAAACCGGGAGAUAGCUGGUUCUCCCCGAAAGCUAUUUAGGUAGCGCCUCGUGAAUUCAUCUCCGGGGGUAGAGCACUGUUUCGGCUAGGGGGCCAUCCCGGCUUACCAACCCGAUGCAAACUGCGAAUACCGGAGAAUGUUAUCACGGGAGACACACGGCGGGUGCUAACGUCCGUCGUGAAGAGGGAAACAACCCAGACCGCCAGCUAAGGUCCCAAAGUCAUGGUUAAGUGGGAAACGAUGUGGGAAGGCCCAGACAGCCAGGAUGUUGGCUUAGAAGCAGCCAUCAUUUAAAGAAAGCGUAAUAGCUCACUGGUCGAGUCGGCCUGCGCGGAAGAUGUAACGGGGCUAAACCAUGCACCGAAGCUGCGGCAGCGACGCUGAUGCGUUGUUGGGUAGGGGAGCGUUCUGUAAGCCUGCGAAGGUGGCCUGUGAGGGUUGCUGGAGGUAUCAGAAGUGCGAAUGCUGACAUAAGUAACGAUAAAGCGGGUGAAAAGCCCGCUCGCCGGAAGACCAAGGGUUCCUGUCCAACGUUAAUCGGGGCAGGGUGAGUCGACCCCUAAGGCGAGGCCGAAAGGCGUAGUCGAUGGGAAACGGGUUAAUAUUCCCGUACUUGGUGUUACUGCGAAGGGGGGACGGAGAAGGCUAUGUUGGCCGGGCGACGGUUGUCCCGGUUUAAGCGUGUAGGUGUGUGUUCCAGGUAAAUCCGGUUCACUUUAACACUGAGGCGUGAUGACGAGGCACUACGGUGCUGAAGCAACAAAUGC
RNAcentral lists this ribosomal RNA (891 nucleotides) under Salmonella enterica subsp. enterica serovar Reading. RNAcentral's name for it is "partial 23S ribosomal RNA". It matches the Rfam family "Bacterial large subunit ribosomal RNA", at positions 711 to 1600 of the family's 2925-position model. The record is from RNAcentral. Lineage: Bacteria; Pseudomonadati; Pseudomonadota; Gammaproteobacteria; Enterobacterales; Enterobacteriaceae.